UACAGAGGUCUCAAGCGUUGUUCGGAUUCAUUGGGCGUAAAGGGUGUGUAGGUGGCGCCGUAAGUCGGGUGUGAAAUUUCGGAGCUUAACUCCGAAACUGCAUUUGAUACUGUGGUGCUUGAGGACUGGAGAGGAGACUGGAAUUCACGGUGUAGCAGUGAAAUGCGUAGAUAUCGUGAGGAAGACCAGUGGCGAAGGCGGGUCUCUGGACAGUUCCUGACACUGAGGCACGAAGGCCAGGGGAGCAAACGGG
This 253-nucleotide ribosomal RNA is filed under the name uncultured bacterium. RNAcentral's name for it is "partial 16S ribosomal RNA". It matches the Rfam family "Bacterial small subunit ribosomal RNA", at positions 524 to 776 of the family's 1533-position model. The record is from RNAcentral.